GGGAAUGUGGCUCAGUGGUAGAGCACUUGCCUAGCAUGUGCCAAGGUCCUGGGUUCAGUCCCAGCACUGUCA
Molecule: transfer RNA, 72 nt
Filed under: Fukomys damarensis (Damara mole-rat)
Lineage: Eukaryota; Metazoa; Chordata; Mammalia; Rodentia; Bathyergidae
Rfam family: tRNA
About the family: Transfer RNA (tRNA) molecules are approximately 80 nucleotides in length.
Source: Rfam by way of RNAcentral